RNAcentral lists this ribosomal RNA (469 nucleotides) under uncultured bacterium. Its description in RNAcentral is "bacterial SSU rRNA". It matches the Rfam family "Bacterial small subunit ribosomal RNA", at positions 29 to 507 of the family's 1533-position model. The record is from RNAcentral.
AGUGAACGCUGGCGGCGUGCUUAACACAUGCAAGUCGAACGAGAACGGAUUAUAGCUUGCUAUAAUUGUCAGCUAAGUGGCGCACGGGUGAGUAAUGUAUAGAUAACCUGCCCUCUAGAAAGGAAUAACAGUUGGAAACGACUGCUAAUGCCCUAUAUGCCUUUAAUACAUAAGUAUGCAAGGGAAACGCUUUAGUGCUAGAGGAUGGGUCUGUAUGGUAUCAGUUAGUUGGUGAGGUAAUGGCUCACCAAGACUAUGACGCCUAACUGGUUUGAGAGGAUGAUCAGUCACACUGGAACUGAGACACGGUCCAGACUCCUACGGGAGGCAGCAGUGGGGAAUAUCGCACAAUGGACGAAAGUCUGAUGCAGCAACGCCGCGUGGAGGAUGACACAUUUCGGUGCGUAAACUCCUUUUAUAUAGGAAGAUAAUGACGGUACUAUAUGAAUAAGCACCGGCUAACUCCGUG